CCACUCAUUUAAAGAGUGCGUAAUAGCUCACUAGUCGAGAGAUCCUGCGCCGAAAAUGUCCGGGGCUCAAACUUACCACCGAAGCUACGGGCUUGCAUUAGCAAGCGGUAGGGGAGCGUCGUAAUCGGGCUGAAGUCGUACCGUAAGGAGCGGUGGACUGAUUACGAGUGAGAAUGUUGGCAUUAGUAGCGAGAUGUAGGUGAGAAUCCUACAGGCCGAAUAUCUAAGGUUUCCUCAGGAAGGCUCGUCCGCUGAGGGUUAGUCGGGACCUAAGCCGAGGCCGAAAGGCGUAGGCGAUGGACAAUCGGUUGAUAUUCCGAUACCACUACCAUCGUUAUUAUCGAGGGUGUGACGGAGAAGGAUAGUGUGUGCUAGCGAUUGGAAAUGCUAGUCUAAGCGUUUAGGGAGUUACGGUAGGCAAAUCCGCUGUAACAAUUCUGAGGCGUGAUGGGGAAGGCCAUAUAGGCCGAAGUACAUGAUUCCAUGCUUCCAAGAAAAGCAUCUAGAGAGAGAAGUAGUGCCCGUACCGCAAACCGACACAGGUAGAUGAGGAGAGAAUCCUAAGGCCGGCGGAAGAAUUGCAGUUAAGGAACUAGGCAAAUUGACCCCGUAAGUUCGCGAGAAGGGGUGCCUGCGAGAGCAGGCCGCAGAGAAUAGGCCCAAGCAACUGUUUAGCAAAAACACAGGUCUCUGCUAAAGCGCAAGCUGAUGUAUAGGGGCUGACGCCUGCCCGGUGCUGGAAGGUUAAGGGGAACACUUAGCGCAAGCGAAGGUGUGAACUUAAGCCCCAG
RNAcentral lists this ribosomal RNA (791 nucleotides) under Clostridium disporicum. Its description in RNAcentral is "bacterial LSU rRNA". It matches the Rfam family "Bacterial large subunit ribosomal RNA", at positions 1116 to 1923 of the family's 2925-position model. Lineage: Bacteria; Bacillati; Bacillota; Clostridia; Eubacteriales; Clostridiaceae. The record is from RNAcentral.